GGGAAAUAUUACGCAUUAGUUUCUGGGGUUUGCUAAAUUUCCGACAGUGGGAUUCUCUACAGUAUCUGAUCGCCUGUUGGAGAAAAUGUGUUGGGCACAGUCUUUUAAGAACAAAGAUUUUUUUUUUCGUUUGUGUGUGUGUGUGUGUGUGUGUGUGAUUCCAGGAUAAGAAGAGAGACUGGCUUGUCCUAAAUGUUACAUGUAACUUGAUGGAUCAAGACUGGAAUCUAUGUCUAUGUAAUGACCCAUUAGAAUUACAUUACGCCAAAGGGAAAUAGCCUAUCAUAUACUUAUCAAAUCUUAAAUUUUUUCCCAUGCAACCAAUUUUAUAACUGUUAAAAUAAUUUUUCAUUAUUGAUUAUAUAUUUAUUUAUGACGAAGAUAAUGUUGCCAGAUUAUUCUGUUUACAGAAGGAAAGGAAUUUGCUACAUUUGAUUCAUCUCAUCAUAACCAUAUUGGUACCUUUGACGUUGCAAACGCCAGCAGAAGUCAUCAGGGGAGAUACAAAUGCCUUGGAGGUGGGCCCAAAACACUUUCAAUAAAAAGCGAAAACUUUUACAAAACAUUUAAUAGAAAACCGAGAACCAUUUACAUCGAUGUUAUCAAGGAAAGAAGAAACAUGCUGCUAAAAGACUACAGGAAAGUUACGAUGGUCGGAGAUGCUUUCACUUUCGAUUGCUCCUACUUCGACCCACCUCCCAAAGACAUCACCUGGACAAAAGAUGGUCAGCCUCUUCCCAGUAAUUUCGGUGAAUUCAGGGAGAACAACCAGAUGAUAAUGAUCCCCCACCUAGAUCCCACAAUCCACACUGGACAUUAUGUAUGCGAGACUGAAAGGGGGGGCAGAUCUGUAAGGGGAUUUCUCACUCUAUUUGUGCAAGGUAAGU
Long non-coding RNA from Macrobrachium nipponense, 887 nucleotides. RefSeq lists it as uncharacterized. Lineage: Eukaryota; Metazoa; Arthropoda; Malacostraca; Decapoda; Palaemonidae. The record is from RefSeq and is a predicted model, not a curated record. The transcript is spliced from 3 exons.